ACAUAAAUUACCGCGUCCUAUCAAGUGUCGAGGCAGGUAGUGGCGGGCCACGCUUCCCCUCCUUGCCCAUCCCUCAACGCCCAGACUUGAGGGGAAAGUGUGCCGGCCCGCUUCCGGUGUAAACUGGAAACUACUCGCUAUAGAGACGUCGGGGCGGUUGGUCCUUGGCUGGUGGACCAUAGAUACACGAAGCAGAAUGACCUGCUCGCGGGCGCCCUCCUGGCAUCGCCCUCCUGUUUUUUUUGCUUCCGGGGGGGCCCCGAAAAGCCACCCCGCCAUCAGUGAAGCUUUGGGUUUGCGGUGAAGGGCCGGGGAAGAGCGGGGCUCGCGCUGCAGGAGGCGGGGACUCCAAGGCUCAUCGUCCUGGGCCAGAAGCCGCAGCCCCCCCAGUGCUGCCACGUUCUUUGCCAGAAGACCUAAUUGACACCCUGACAGGGAACAGCUGCCAAGCGAAACCAAGCGCAGAAAGAAACCAUCCGCAGGAGAAUCUGGAACUCGCAGCGGCUCUGUGACUUGGCAGGAGGGGCUCGGCCGUCCGGGGCUGCCCAGCUGAGCCCCAGUUCAAAGGGGGGCCAGCCUGCCCUGCCGCACCCAGAAGAUCCCGCUGGGAGAGGCCCCUCCCCCCGGCAGCCUCCACUCACCGAGCAUUUGCCAACCCGGCCGUACUUCCUGCCACCCUCGGAAACCAGGAAACUUCAGAGGGACAGACAGACACAGCCCUGAGGAAGACCUGGAGAGACCCAGCGCAUGUCCACAACCCACAGACAGGGAGCGACAUGAAUUGGGCUGCUUAAGUAGGGAUAAAAUACAAUAAACCUAUUUUGGCAUGGAAA
Long non-coding RNA from Crotalus tigris (Tiger rattlesnake), 833 nucleotides. RefSeq lists it as uncharacterized. The record is from RefSeq and is a predicted model, not a curated record. The transcript has 4 exons. NCBI's taxonomy places the organism in Eukaryota, Metazoa, Chordata, Lepidosauria, Squamata, Viperidae.